Molecule: ribosomal RNA, 502 nt
Filed under: uncultured bacterium
Lineage: Bacteria
Description: partial 16S ribosomal RNA
Rfam family: Bacterial small subunit ribosomal RNA
Source: RNAcentral
AUUGAACGCUGGCGGCAGGCUUAACACAUGCAAGUCGAGCGGGGUGAUGGUGCUUGCACUAUCACUUAGCGGCGGACGGGUGAGUAAUGCUUAGGGAUCUGCCUAUUAGUGGGGGACAACAUCUCGAAAGGGAUGCUAAUACCGCAUACGUCCUACGGGAGAAAGCAGGGGAUCACUUGUGACCUUGCGCUAAUAGAUGAGCCUAAGUCGGAUUAGCUAGUUGGUGGGGUAAAGGCCUACCAAGGCGACGAUCAGUAGCUGGUCUGAGAGGACGAUCAGCCACACUGGGACUGAGACACGGCCCAGACUCCUACGGGAGGCAGCAGUGGGGAAUUUUGGACAAUGGGCGAAAGCCUGAUCCAGCAAUGCCGCGUGUGUGAAGAAGGCCUUCGGGUUGUAAAGCACUUUUGUCCGGAAAGAAAUGGCUCUGGUUAAUACCUGGGGUCGAUGACGGUACCGGAAGAAUAAGGACCGGCUAACUACGUGCCAGCAGCCGCAGUAA